Molecule: ribosomal RNA, 467 nt
Filed under: uncultured bacterium
Lineage: Bacteria
Description: partial 16S ribosomal RNA
Rfam family: Bacterial small subunit ribosomal RNA
Source: RNAcentral
ACGCACGCUGGCGGCGUGCUUAACACAUGCCAGUCGCACGGAAAGGCCCUGCUUUUGUGGGGUGCUCGCGUGGCGAACGGGUGAGUAACACGUGAGUAACCUGCCCUUGACUUUGGGAUAACUUCAGGAAACUGGGGCUAAUACCGGAUAGGAGCUCCUGCUGCAUGGUGGGGGUUGGAAAGUUUCGGCGGUUGGGGAUGGACUCGCGGCUUAUCAGCUUGUUGGUGGGGUAGUGGCUUACCAAGGCUUUGACGGGUAGCCGGCCUGAGAGGGUGACCGGCCACAUUGGGACUGAGAUACGGCCCAGACUCCUACGGGAGGCAGCAGUGGGGAAUAUUGCACAAUGGGCGGAAGCCUGAUGCAGCAACGCCGCGUGCGGGAUGACGGCCUUCGGGUUGUAAACCGCUUUCGCCUGUGACGAAGCGUGAGUGACGGUAAUGGGUAAAGAAGCACCGGCUAACUACGUG